GGAUCAGGUAUAGUUCAGGGGUUGAACACAUGCUUCAUAUGCAUGAGGUCCCAGGUUCAAUCCCUGGUACCUCCU
Molecule: transfer RNA, 75 nt
Filed under: Dasypus novemcinctus (nine-banded armadillo)
Lineage: Eukaryota; Metazoa; Chordata; Mammalia; Cingulata; Dasypodidae
Description: tRNA-Met (CAT) (tRNA-Met-CAT-8-1)
Rfam family: tRNA (bases 6-72)
About the family: Transfer RNA (tRNA) molecules are approximately 80 nucleotides in length. Their secondary structure includes four short double-helical elements and three loops (D, anti-codon, and T loops).
Source: RNAcentral